This 81-nucleotide microRNA precursor is filed under the name Ixodes scapularis (black-legged tick). RNAcentral describes it as "mir-92 microRNA precursor family". The record is from RNAcentral. Lineage: Eukaryota; Metazoa; Arthropoda; Arachnida; Ixodida; Ixodidae.
AUAUAUACACACGACUGGAAUAGUAGCACCACAUAAAAGCUGACUAUUGUGGUGCUGCUUUUCCUGUCGUGUGUAUAUAUA